Molecule: long non-coding RNA, 3900 nt
Organism: Oncorhynchus keta (chum salmon)
Lineage: Eukaryota; Metazoa; Chordata; Actinopteri; Salmoniformes; Salmonidae
Exons: 2
Source: RefSeq, a predicted model, not a curated record
AUCCCCCUGGAGAGAAGACAAUACAAGAAAUGUAUGAAACUGCUUAAAACCACAAUAUUACGUAAUAGCCAGUGAUGUAUGGCCAAAAUAAAAAGGAAUAAUAGGUGGGUAAACUAUAAUCGUGGUGAGCAAAGUAACACUCCAUAUACCUUCAAUGUAUUUUUGCGCAAAAGGUGGGUAAACGCUAGGGCAAAAUAGAAGUGGCUAAACAGCGUUAACCAAUGUUCACUCUAAUUUUUGGGGGCACUGAGCAAAUUUCUGGUCUGUUGAUUGCAAACUUGAACGUGUUUACUGUGAACACAAGAGGCUGUAGCUGCUUUAAUUUACAUUUAGCGGUGGCCAAGUAGGCUACUGUGACUAUUUGAUCAUAGUGUAGGCCUACCAGCGUGGCCUACCAUCAAAAACAAUGGAUGAAACAACAUUUUAACAUUGAAAUAGAACCGCUAUCACUCAGCCUACAGUAGCAGACAAUGUGUGAUGUUCAAUGUAGACCUACAUUCCAUGAGACUGUUGAAAAAAAACAUGCAGGGCUUGACAUUAACCUUUUUUAUCCACUUGUCCGUCAGACAAGGAAGUGACUGAAAAUGUUGUUUGAUGCAAGAAACCACUAAAAAGAUAAAAAGCAUUAUUAUUCCUAUACCAUUAUUUUAGAAAAUCAGACAUUAUGCUAUCCUCUGCCUACUUAGCUUAUUCAAGCCGGUUUUCAAAUACAACACUGCCCCUUUAAGACAAAAAAGCUCCUUAUGACUCGUUUUUCAAAUAUGUCUAGAAAUGUACAAGUUUGGUGCUCUUGUAGAAAGCAAUCAAUCCCCUAUUGCUGACUACAAAUAAUCUAUAACUGGGAUAACUCACUAACUAGCAAAGGAUAUGAACAAAAUGUGCAUAUGUGGCUACAUGCAGCUCUCGCUCUGAUCUCAAAACAAGCACAUCACUCACGACCGCUCAUGCUAUAAACAAAGUCCAGUUCAAAGUAAAUGGCACAGAUCCAUAUAUGGCAAUGGGCUACUUGCAUAUAGGCCUACUGCAGCUCCAAUUGUUUAUGCCGCACAGGUCUGUGUAGAGUACGGGCUGAGUAGUUUGUCUCAAUGCAAUAGAAUCUUACUCCGAUAUGUUCUGUAUACAACAAUCUCUUGCAUAGUUGAUUUUGUUUUGGUAUGUUGCAUUGAAAGUGGCUAAUAUUGCAUUGAUUCUAUCACAGUUGCCACAGUAAAAGAAAACAUUGAUAGUGUUAACAGGGAAAACUCUAGAACAGUGGUCACCAACCUUUUCUGAGUCAAGAUCACUUUGAGUCUAACUGCAAGACGAGAUCUACCGCAGAGAUUAAAAAAACGACAAAAAAAGCUGACUUCAACUUAAGCCUAUGCAACAUUAACCAAUUAAAAACAGUACUGUGGCAAUGAGGUUUGUGCAGUAAGCCAUCACCAUAUAUUGGCUUUUCUUGAAUUGCUCUGCCAAUGCAUUGUUCUUCGGUCAUUUAAUGUAUUUUUAUAUACAAACAUUUGAGGUAGGCAAUAUGAUCACACAUGUAAUUGAUCAAUUGUUGUAUUACUUGGAGGCACAGCUGAGUGAGAAUACAUUUGAAAUGUUUUGCUUAUUUUUAUUUUCCUGGGCUGAUGGUACCUGCAUCUGAUGGUCAGUCUCAGUGGAGGAAAAGAGCAGUAGACUAAAGGUCCGCCUCAACAUCCCUUCCCUCUCCCUUUCCUCCACUAACCAAAGGGUAAUGUUUUGCAGAGGGAAGUGGACAAAUGCAUAAUCUGAAUGACUGAAGACCCACCAAGGAGCCACCAAGUCCUUGAGGAACACACCAAUAGCUCAAGGAACCAUCAUGCGACCUUAGUUAGGCUAUUCUUUGUUUAGACUACAGAGUGGGGUGUCUUGUUCUGUUUAUGUAGCCCAUGUGAAAUGGCAAGCGAGUUAGCAGCGUUCAAUCAAUGACGCCGCUCUGAGACAUAGAAGUAGUCGUUUCCCCUGCUCUGUAAGGGCUGCGGCUUUUGUGGAGCGACAGGUAACAAUGCUUUGUGGGUGACUGUUGUAAAUGUAUUCAGAGGGUUCCAGGUUUGAGCCCAGGGCAAGGCAAGGAGAGGGACGGAAGCAACACCAUUACAUUGAGAACAAACAGAACUGGAAGCAUUAAGGGAUGAGAAAUGGUGAAUUCCUUGAAUGAUGCCUAAAGAGAUAAGCCAAUGUACAAAGCAGUGGCCUUGGAGGACAGAGUUUCGUAGGCGUACUCAGUGUUCCUCAGUUAACUGGACAAUGGUGCCAUUUGAUGACUCCAGUUCAAAUAGUGGCACUCAAACAUUAGCAAGUAAGGCAAAGUUCAAUAGUACUGAGCUCAGUUUAAAAAAUGGCUUCAUUAUAGUCCAAGGCACUUAACAAAAGUAGCAAAUGUAAAAGCCACUGUGUAUUACACAUGAACAGCAUUCUUAUGUGUAAUCUUGAUGUUUAAAAAAAUGAUCAUAUGAGUGUGCAUUUCAACUCCUCAGCGACAAGUUGGCAACAAGUUGGACAACUGGGAAUUAGCUGGUUUUCAUUAGAGGGGCAUGCCUUGAGGAUAUCCAAGUACCCAAAAUGAAAAACUAAGGGGUAUUAACACCACACAUAACUACGAUUUGUACUUUAAACCUGCCACUUAUUUAGUCAGUGGUCUAGCAAUGGCAUAGUGCUCCAGGGAGACAUUUAGCCCACCUCUUCAAAAAUCUAAAAGCGCUCGUAAAUGAAAUUAAAAUAAACGCUAAGAACAAAACAGUUUUUGCAUGAGCAGAAAUGUAGUGGACAUAGACUUGGUUGGUUAUCCCAACCACUUGCCUACUCUAUUCUAUUUACCAUUGUCCUUCAUAAAAGCUUCCGACUGUAGUCACAACCCAAGUCAUUUUCUCAAGCUGAAAAACUAUGGUCUGAGCUCAUUCGGAACACGUACAACAAUUUUAGUCCGGAAAGGAUAGUUUGUGGAAAUAUGAAAGUAAAAAUGUUUAAGCAGAAUAAGGAAGUGAGACCGCUGGCCAGUGCUCUUUAAACCAACAAAUAAUUUGAGGGGAAACUCGUCUUACCAGUGGCCAUGCAGGGUGAGGGCGGCAGCCAGCGAGUAGUCAACAGCAGGUCCGGGGAAGUAGUAGGCAGCAGGCCCCAAAGCCAGCAGCAGUACGCUCACCACACGCUCUCCUGUCCAAUGCAGAGAGGCAGCUUUGGACACAGAGCCAGCUGCAAAAAGACAAAUAACAAAACAUCCAAUCAUUGUUACGUUCCCCAGUUUGUGUAUUUGCAUCUGUUUAUUUCAAGAAAUGGCUUCCUGAAAUCCCUCAAGCAGCUGAUUAGUCGACUCCAUGGCUAAUUGGAGAGCUGACCCCGCCCCCUCGUCAAGACUCAGCUGUCUCCAGUUACACAUUCAUUCUGAAGCUAUAUAAAAGCCAGUGUUCUGUUUAGGAGAGAGAUUUUGCUGGAGGUAGAUUUGCUAGAGAUUUUGUGGGAGGUCAUUGCAGAGAGAUUUUGCUAGAGGUUGAUUUUGCUGGGAGUUCAUUGCUGGGAAGUGGUAUGUUCUGUGAGUUUGUUUCUCAGGUAGAGCUUAUUUGAUGUCCUUUGUUUCUUAGUUAGUUUGAAAAUGGUUUAAUAUUCUGUUUCAUUUGUUCCCAGGGGGGAAGGGGAAGGCACCUAGGGAGUGCUUAGGCAAGAGGCCCGCGGGCAUACAUAUACCCGUAGUAUAUUCAUUGUCUAGGCACAAUAGGUAAGACCUGGGCGGACCACCCCCUGUAUUUUGGUUAGGACACCAGGUGGUACUAAAUUAAGUAUUGGUUAGGCAGGUAAGAUAGGAGAGGGGGCUUUGAGAUUUAAUUUCUUUGCUUUGGUUCCGUCCAGCCCCCUUUCCCCAUAUUACCGUGUAAAGGAAUAAAGUCCUUGUAAACGGUA